Long non-coding RNA from Columba livia (rock pigeon), 1178 nucleotides. RefSeq lists it as uncharacterized. The record is from RefSeq and is a predicted model, not a curated record. The transcript is spliced from 3 exons. Lineage: Eukaryota; Metazoa; Chordata; Aves; Columbiformes; Columbidae.
GUGCUGAGCUCAUGGCUCCUGCUUGAUGAGCACUUGUGUUCCCCAGGGUGAUUGUGAGGCCUGGUGGAUGGCAACACCAGCAAUUAAAAGUGAUAUUGCUUCCAAAUUAAAGCGUUUUGUACGUGGCCAGUUCUGUUUAAUUAAUUAGAGCAGACUGUUGGCUCUCAGCCCAUGUGCCUGAACAGCUGCUUCUGCUGCAAAGUCAACAUCAGUUGCUACUGGAGUGGCACUUCUAACUGAAAUCUCCGUGGGGGGAUUAUGCUGCAAGAACCAGUGCUAUUUUAAUCCCAGAUAAGAACACCUACCCGAUGGCCAGCGGGCUUUCAGUCAUACUCUGGACUGGUAAUAAAACAGAUGGGCAACGCACACUUGAGGCCACUCAGCAAAUCAUGGACAUUAAAAAUCAGUCAUUGUCUAGAUUUGGAAAAUGACACGUAUAUUAUAAACACCAUCAUGAAAGAGACAUGGGCACUUUGGAGAAAAAUAACACUCAUCUGGAAGGUGGGAGACCUGACACCCAAAUUGGACAAUAGCCCCAGCAAAGUUCCUGAACACCUGACUGUCCUUCGAGUGCUCCCUACUCCCUAGAGUUUCACAAGGGGUUAAGGCAGGUUUAGCCUGUGUCUCAGUGUGAAGUGAAAGCCUGUGUCAAAAGUCGAUAUUUCUGGCAAGGAGAAUGGCUUUAUUCCUCUAUAGCUGCAAUCCGCUAAAUAGAUGUACAUGAACAAAAACAAAGCGGCGAAUGACAAGGGUCAGACUCCAAACAAACACAUGUACAAUUCAGUUACUCUGGUACGUCUUUCCUAGAGGUGCUGAAGUUUAUAAAUUCCCUGCCCUUCACCUCACAGGUGGACAUGAUUUCGUGCCCCACAUGUACAACCACAAUCUAUCCAAGACAACAGUGGAUGCACAGAAAGGAUGGCAGCCCUGGCUACCACCUAAUUUAAAAGGAACACAGCCUUUUGAACUGCGGCAUGCUAAAGAAAGCUUAAAGCAUGCUCUACUUUCCCCACAAGUCUUACAGACUGUUCUUCAAAGUGUCAAACGUGUGGAGCCAACAUACCGCCAAAGUAGGGCCGGAGGUAUUUGUUGUAUCCCAUGGUGAGGUUCUCAAAUCCAGGGAGGGACCUUGUGUCGCUGCUCUGCAAGUUGGAUACGUGACCCAGGGAGCACCUUCU